This 49-nucleotide non-coding RNA is filed under the name unclassified sequences. RNAcentral's name for it is "DUF3800-VI RNA". It matches the Rfam family "DUF3800-VI RNA". From Rfam's summary of the family: Actinobacteria, Planctomycetes, Proteobacteria, Spirochaetes. The record is from RNAcentral.
CGGUUGGGAGGGCUGCAUUUGCGGUCCGUUGGCGCAAGCCACCCGGCUG